RNAcentral lists this ribosomal RNA (253 nucleotides) under uncultured bacterium. RNAcentral's name for it is "partial 16S ribosomal RNA". It matches the Rfam family "Bacterial small subunit ribosomal RNA", at positions 524 to 776 of the family's 1533-position model. The record is from RNAcentral.
GACGUAGGGGGCAAGCGUUAUUCGGAAUUAUUGGGCGUAAAGCGCUCGUAGGCGGGACUGGAAGUCCGUGUUGAAAGACCUCGGCUCAACUGAGGGACCGGCUCGGAUACUCUAGUUCUUGAGGCAAUCAGAGGGUGAUGGAAUUCCAGGUGUAGUGGUGAAAUACGUAGAUAUCUGGAGGAACACCGGUGGCGAAGGCGGCGAUCUGGCCCAACACUGACACUGAGACCCGAAAGCGUGGGGAUCAAACAGG